CGCCAGACUCCUACGGGAGGCAGCAGUGGGGAAUAUUGGGCAAUGGGCGCAAGCCUGACCCAGCAACGCCGCGUGAAGGAAGAAGGCUUUCGGGUUGUAAACUUCUUUUGACAGGGAAGAGUAGAAGACGGUACCUGUCGAAUAAGCCACGGCUAACUACGUGCCAGCAGCCGCGGUAAUACGUAGGUGGCAAGCGUUGUCCGGAUUUACUGGGUGUAAAGGGCGUGUAGCCGGGUUGACAAGUCAGAUGUGAAAUCCCGCGGCUUAACCGCAGAACUGCAUUUGAAACUGUAGGUCUUGAGUAUCGGAGAGGCAGGCGGAAUUCCUAGUGUAGCGGUGAAAUGCGUAGAUAUUAGGAGGAACACCAGUGGCGAAGGCGGCCUGCUGGACGACAACUGACGGUGAGGCGCGAAAGCGUGGGGAGCAAACAGGAUUAGAUACCCCGGUAC
RNAcentral lists this ribosomal RNA (449 nucleotides) under uncultured bacterium. RNAcentral describes it as "bacterial SSU rRNA". It matches the Rfam family "Bacterial small subunit ribosomal RNA", at positions 329 to 793 of the family's 1533-position model. The record is from RNAcentral.